Molecule: ribosomal RNA, 465 nt
Filed under: uncultured Gammaproteobacteria bacterium
Lineage: Bacteria; Pseudomonadati; Pseudomonadota; Gammaproteobacteria
Description: partial 16S ribosomal RNA
Source: RNAcentral
GACUACUGGGGUAUCUAAUCCUGUUUGCUCCCCACGCUUUCGUGCCUGAACGUCGGUGCUGGACCAGGAAGCCGCUUUCGCCACUGAUGUUCCUUCCGAUAUCUACGCAUUUCACCGCUACACCGGAAAUUCCGCUUCCCUCUUCCGCACCCUAGCUAUUCAGUCUCGAAUGCCAUUCCCAGGUUGAGCCCGGGGCUUUCACACCCGACUUAAAUAACCGUCUACGCACGCUUUACGCCCAGUAAUUCCGAUUAACGCUUGCACCCUCUGUAUUACCGCGGCUGCUGGCACAGAGUUAGCCGGUGCUUUUUCUUUGGGUUAAGUCAGUUCCCAGACGUGUUAGGUCUGAGCGUUUCCUCCCCACUAAAAGUGCUUUACAACCCGCAGGCCUUCUUCACACACGCGGCGUCGCUGGAUCAGGCUUUCGCCCAUUGUCCAAUAUUCCCCACUGCAGCCGCCCGUAGG